NNNNNNNNNNNNNNNNNNNNNNNNNNNNNNNNCCCGCUAUAAACCACUAAGUCUUAAUAAAAUAAUUAAAACAUUCUUUAAAUCUAGUAAAGGCGAUUAAAAAAUUAUCAGGAGCAAUAAAAAUAGUACCGCAAGGGAAAGGUGAAAUAAAAAUGAAACAAAUUUCAAGCACAAUAAAGUAGAGAUAGACCCUCGUACCUUUUGCAUCAUGGUUUAACAAGUCUAAUCAAGCAUAACGAAUUACAGUUUGACCCCCCGAAACUAAGUGAGCUACUUCAGAGCAGCUUAUUGAGCAAACCCGUCUCUGUUGCAAAAGAGUGGGAAGACUCUCAAGUAGAGGUGACAGACCUAACGAACUUAGUGAUAGCUGGUUACUCAAGAAAAGGAUUUAAGUCCCGCCUAAAAUCUAUAUAAUUUAACAAAAUAAUACUGUGACUUUAGAGUAAUUCAAAUAAGGUACAGCCUAUUUGAAAUAGGAUACAACCUCUACUAACGGGUAAUUUACUAAUUUAAUAAUUAAGUGGGCCUAAAAGCAGCCACCUUUAAAAUAGCGUCAAAGCUUUAUUUUACCUUUCAUCUAAUAACCUAAAUUAAUUAAAACCCUUCAUUUAUAUUGAGUAAUUCUAUACCCUUAUAGAACCUAUAAUGUUAAAACUAGUAACAAGAAGAAGCCCUUCUCUAAAAUGCAAGUGUAAAUCAGCAAGGACAACCCGCUGAUAAUCAACACCCGUGAAACUAUACUAGCAACUUCACAAGAAAACCCUAGUAUAACAUGUGUUAACCUAACACAAGAGCAUUUCAAGAAAGAUUAAAAGAAAAAGAAGGAACUCGGCAAAUAUUAACCCCGCCUGUUUACCAAAAACAUCGCCUCUUGAUUAUCUAUAAGAGGUCCAGCCUGCCCAGUGACUCUGUUCAACGGCCGCGGUAUCCUAACCGUGCGAAGGUAGCGUAAUCACUUGUUCUUUAAAUGGGGACUUGUAUGAAUGGCACCACGAGGGUUAUACUGUCUCCUUUCUCUGAUCAGUGAAACUAAUCUCCCCGUGAAGAAGCGGGGAUGCACUUAUAAGACGAGAAGACCCUAUGGAGCUUUAAACUAAAUAACAAAUACUAUCUCUUAUUUAACUUUCAGAACAUACACAUCUACUUUAGCAUUCUGAUUAUUAGUUUUAGGUUGGGGUGACCGCGGAGCAAAAACCAACCUCCUCAUUGAAUGGAACUUACUCCUGAGCAAUAAACUACAACUUUAAGCACCAAGAAAUUGACAUUAAUUGACCCAAUAUUUUGAUCAACGAACCAAGUUACCCUAGGGAUAACAGCGCAAUCUACUUCAAGAGCUCCUAUCGACAAGUGGGUUUACGACCUCGAUGUUGGAUCAGGGUAUCCCAGUGGUGCAGCCGCUACUAAAGG
RNAcentral lists this ribosomal RNA (1407 nucleotides) under Nyctimantis cf. brunoi BLB-2020. Its description in RNAcentral is "partial 16S ribosomal RNA". It matches the Rfam family "Bacterial large subunit ribosomal RNA", at positions 274 to 2571 of the family's 2925-position model. The record is from RNAcentral. Lineage: Eukaryota; Metazoa; Chordata; Amphibia; Anura; Hylidae.